RNAcentral lists this transfer RNA (64 nucleotides) under Krisna expansiva. RNAcentral describes it as "tRNA-Phe". Lineage: Eukaryota; Metazoa; Arthropoda; Insecta; Hemiptera; Cicadellidae. The record is from RNAcentral.
AUUUUAGUAGCUUAAUUAGAGUAUAAUAUUGAAGAUAUUAAGGUGAAGUUGUUUUUMUAAAAUA